UACGGAGGGUGCGAGCGUUGUCCGGAAUCACUGGGCGUAAAGGGCGCGUAGGCGGCGCGGAUAGUCGGCGGUGAAAGCCCGGAGCUCAACUCCGGGUCGGCCGUCGAUACUUCCGGGCUUGAGCACUGUAGAGGCAGAUGGAAUUCCGGGUGUAGCGGUGGAAUGCGUAGAGAUCCGGAAGAACACCGGUGGCGAAGGCGGUCUGCUGGGCGAGUUGCUGACGC
Molecule: ribosomal RNA, 224 nt
Filed under: uncultured bacterium
Lineage: Bacteria
Description: partial 16S ribosomal RNA
Rfam family: Bacterial small subunit ribosomal RNA
Source: RNAcentral